GAUGAACGCUGGCGGCGUGCCUAAUACAUGCAAGUCGAGCGAAAGGACGAGAAGCUUGCUUCUCUGAUGUUAGAGGCGGACGGGUGAGUAACACGUGGAUAACCUAACUAUCAGACUGGGAUAACUUCGGGAAACAGUAGCUAAUACCGGAUAAUUUUUUGACCCGCAUGGCUCAAAAGUGAAAGACGGUCUUGCUGUCACUUAUAGCUGGAUCAGCGCUGCAUUCGUUAGUUGGUAAGGUAACGGCUUACCAAGGCAACGAUGGAUAGACGACCCGAGCGGGUGGUCGGCCAGACGGGAAGAGAGGCAGGUUCCAGACACCGGCAGUAAGACACGGUAGGGAAUCCUCCGCGAGGGGGGAAAGGGGGACAUAGCAACGCCGCGGGAAUGAUGAAGGUCUUCGGAUCGUAAAGCGCUGUUGUCAGGAGAGUUCAAAUGUUCAAGUAACUGGGCUGAUCUUGACGGUACCGAAUCAAAAAGCCACGGCUAACUACGUG
Molecule: ribosomal RNA, 497 nt
Filed under: uncultured bacterium
Lineage: Bacteria
Description: partial 16S ribosomal RNA
Rfam family: Bacterial small subunit ribosomal RNA
Source: RNAcentral